Tupaia belangeri chinensis (Chinese tree shrew) is the source of this 936-nucleotide long non-coding RNA. RefSeq lists it as uncharacterized. The transcript is spliced from 3 exons. Lineage: Eukaryota; Metazoa; Chordata; Mammalia; Scandentia; Tupaiidae. The record is from RefSeq and is a predicted model, not a curated record.
GGACUGUGGUUUCUGGAAGUCGAUUCUCCCUCUAGCGGCUGGUAUCUUUGAGGAGAGACUAGAGCUUGUUAGUCUCAGCUCAGCAGGAGGAUCAGUGGGGAAAGCUUAACCCUGGCUUCAAAGGACUUCUGGGCUGGAAGUUUUAGCUUUGAGAGGAAUCCAGACAAGGAAACUGAAGUCCAAAGAGUUAAAGAGAUGUGCCCAGGGUCACAUGGAUAAGUAGUGGCUACCAUGAUAUUCUUGAUCUUCCCCAAGAUCUAGUCGCUAUUGCUGUCUUCUCAAUAGAAGCAUCGUCCUGGGAUCUAUCCCUCCGUCAUGAGACUUGGGCGAAGGAGACACCACUUCCAGUUUCAAACUACAUCCUGGUUGGUCUAAGCCAAUCAAUCUCCUGGCCUAGUGGUCAACAGAAGUUCACCAACUCAUUGAGGAACUCAGGCUCCUGGAACAGCUUCCAUCUCCAGCAUUUGCCAGAUGCUACCAGAAGGAACGAGUACUCCCAGAAGAUUUGGCAUCAAGACUUCAAUGUUGCUAUCUGAAGUGACUUAUAUGUACAUUUCAUUGGCCAGCAUUAGUCAUGUGGCCCUGCCCACACAGAAAAGGAACAGGAAGUACAAUCUUACUAUGUGCCCAGAAGGGGGUGCUCUGGAGAUCUUUGGGAAGGAUAUUGAUGACCAACGCAGGUCACAUGGUCACUUCCUUAGAGCACUCAGCAUGGACUAGUUCUCUAGCCAGGGGUCACUAAUGCCAGUCUGCAGGCCCCGACACCAUCCACUCACAUUAUUGGAAGUCCAUUGCCUGCCAUCUUACUGCUGAGUCUCCAUGGCUCUUUGGAUACCUCCUGGGGAAGACAACUGACAAGACUGCAAUUACUGUUAUGUUAUUUUAAUUUUUAUUGUUAUAGUUUUUCUAUAGGGUGCACAAGCUCACUGGAGAGAG